This 74-nucleotide transfer RNA is filed under the name Planctomycetota bacterium. Its description in RNAcentral is "Planctomycetes bacterium tRNA-Leu". It matches the Rfam family "tRNA". From Rfam's summary of the family: Transfer RNA (tRNA) molecules are approximately 80 nucleotides in length. Their secondary structure includes four short double-helical elements and three loops (D, anti-codon, and T loops). Further hydrogen bonds mediate the characteristic L-shaped molecular structure. tRNAs have two regions of fundamental functional importance: the anti-codon, which is responsible for specific mRNA codon recognition, and the 3' end, to which the tRNAs corresponding amino acid is attached (by aminoacyl-tRNA synthetases). tRNAs cope with the degeneracy of the genetic code in two manners: having more than one tRNA (with a specific anti-codon) for a particular amino acid; and 'wobble' base-pairing, i.e. permitting non-standard base-pairing at the 3rd anti-codon position. Lineage: Bacteria; Pseudomonadati; Planctomycetota. The record is from RNAcentral.
GGCUCGGUAGGCAAUUGGCAGACCACGUUGUUUCAGACACAGCGAUGCUGUGGGUUCGACUCCCACCUGAGCCA